Molecule: ribosomal RNA, 448 nt
Filed under: Blastocystis sp.
Lineage: Eukaryota; Bigyra; Opalinata; Blastocystidae
Description: bacterial SSU rRNA
Rfam family: Eukaryotic small subunit ribosomal RNA
Source: RNAcentral
ACAAUGCGGAACAAUGUUUUGCAAUUGGAUUGAGAACAACGUACAAACCUUAUCGAUAAACAAUUGGAGGGCAAGUCUGGUGCCAGCAGCCGCGGUAAUUCCAGCUCCAAUAGCGUAUAUUAACGUUGUUGCAGUUAAAAAGCUCGUAGUUGAAAUGAAGGGUAGUUGUGUAAUGAAUACAUUCGUGUAUUUUGUUAUUCUACUACCCUCCUUCUAAAUUCGAUAUAUGAGUAUUAAUUUACUUGUAUAUGGUUUUAGACCUUUACUGUGAGAAAAUUAGAGUGUUCAAAGCAGGCAUUUGCUUGAAUAUAUUAGCAUGGAAUAAUCAUGUAUGAUUUUCAUGAUGUAUUUGAUUGGUUUGGUUCAUGAGAAUAAGAUUAAAAGGGACAGUUGGGGGUAUUCAUAUUCAAUAGUCAGAGGUGAAAUUCUCGGAUUUAUGGAAGAUGAC